RNAcentral lists this ribosomal RNA (248 nucleotides) under uncultured Bdellovibrio sp. Its description in RNAcentral is "partial 16S ribosomal RNA". It matches the Rfam family "Bacterial small subunit ribosomal RNA", at positions 208 to 455 of the family's 1533-position model. The record is from RNAcentral. Lineage: Bacteria; Pseudomonadati; Bdellovibrionota; Bdellovibrionia; Bdellovibrionales; Pseudobdellovibrionaceae.
CCGCAAGGCACUUGAAGAUGAGCCCGCGUAAGAUUAGCUAGUUGGUGAGGUAACGGCUCACCAAGGCGAUGAUCUUUAGCUGGUCUGAGAGGAUGAUCAGCCACACUGGAACUGAGACACGGUCCAGACUCCUACGGGAGGCAGCAGUAGGGAAUAUUGCGCAAUGGGGGAAACCCUGACGCAGCGACGCCGCGUGAGUGAUGAAGGCCUUCGGGUCGUAAAGCUCUGUUAUAUGGGAAUAAGAUCUG